ACCACUCAUCUGCUGUACAAAUUACAUACGUGGCGAAUGAAUUAAAAUAAGUAGACGAUUUCAGUUGAUUACCUCGAAUGUUUAUCGCCAAUGUGAAUACGACCUUGAAGUAAUCGUAAUUGUCGUGUGCGUGACGUUUCUGAUGUUUACCAACCUUUAUCAAGCCUAAAGAAAACUAUCGAUGCAUCGAUAAGCACAUUUUACGUUUUCCAAAAUAAUAUUUUAUAUUCAGUGACAAAUUGCUCGAGUAAUAACUACUUUUAGAUAGGAAAAUGGCGACGAAGGUCGGGGAAUCAGGAUUUAAAUCGCUUGCGAAAUAAUGCGACUUUAGCCUUCUCUGGCCGACUUUUUAGAGAUUCAAGCUUAAAGUUCGUGUACUGGCUGCAGGAAGUAAACUUAUGCUUCUUUUGUAAUCAAUUUCUUUCGCUAUUAAUAAUCCUAAAAAAUAAAAGUAAUCGGCAAAUAAAUCAAAUUCAUCAAAAUCUGAGAAAUCGAUAAAAAACGCAUAUUGCUCUAGUAACUAGAUUAUUACAUGUUAAGGAAUCUCGUCAUAUUUCAGCUUGUUUUUACACGAUAAAAGUAGACAAUAAACACGGGUGUUGUGAAAUCCGGGACACGAUAAAAAAGCCUCGCUGGGAGUUCGAUAAACGAACCGGUCAACGCACGCAGUUUCCAAAUACUAAAUAAUAUACGGUGUUACUCAAGAACGAGCGAUUAGAAAGUACCGCAACAAAGAAAAGAAAAACAGGCUGUAUACUGCGAUAAUAUUCGUUGAGUGUCAUAUUACGCUAAGAGAUGUGUCUUUCUCAUAUUACUGUUACUGUUAUUGUUAAAAUUUACGCAAGUACGAUAGAUUAGUAAUUGUUUGUCACGUGUAUAGUCGAUUCUGUUAAUCUGCAAUUAAUUUCCUUCCUGUAUCUUAACAACAAACGCUGCUAGCACAAUCUGAAAAUACAGUUCGUUAGAUCGCUAAAGUGAUACCGGUUUCUACUGGUUUCCAGCGCACUUUAACGUCACCAAUGGUAUUCAUUGAAACGAAAAAAGAAUAAGAUGGAAAUAUGAUGAAUAACGAACUGUUUCUAUAAAUAAAAUAUCUCUGUUUUAUUGUAAGAGGAAUGAAAUACGUAAUACAGCGCUUUUUUCGUUUAAAAAAUUAUACGAAAUCGAAGAACCUACUGCGACAAUUUGUUUCGAUACUUCGAUAAUGGAAUAAAAGACAUUCAAACUCAUAAGAAUACUAUUACGUGAAUUUCUGGAUUCAAGAAAUUAUUUAUGGCGACGUCUGAACACUAAAUCGCAUUCUCAAUGUUUAAUAUGAUCGAGGGAUAUCGAUUGCUCGAUACAGAGACAUAUCAAUAAUCGAUACAGCUAUGUACGAUACAUGUGUAUAUCGACCAAUAAAAAUAUCGAAUAUGUAGAUAUAUAAUUUAUCUAAAUUCUGUUUUUGAUGCAAGAAAAUAAAUCGAUAUGUAAGUACGUAUAUCGAUUAAUCGAAAUAUCGUAUAUAUCGAUAACAUAGGAGAAAAUAAAAAUUUGGAAAUUUAUAAAUUUUGUUUCCGAUGCAAAAUGUCAUAUAUCAAUCGCUACUUGAAAAUAAGAUUUGAAAGUACAACACAGAAGGAUUAUUGCGCUCAUCACGUUCAAAGCGAUUGUAAGUAGUAGUACAUAUAUCGUUCGAUUUGGAUCGAAUGUCUGCAUUCCCCACGCUUGUUCCUGCAUCUCUAGAAAUAGGACACUUUCAGCGAUUUCCUCGACCACUUAUUUACCUUAGAUUGUCAUCUCAACACCUAAAUAAUACAAUCGUCUACCGCAGUGCAGUGUGGAGGUACUUGAAAUAUCUUUCCAAAAAAACUUCGAAACUAGCGAAAGUUUCGUAGUUAUCGAACUGUUAUUCUGUUACCCUAAAUGUGCGGGCCCCAGAAAUCGGUAAAUAGAAUUUUACAUUUCCUGCGUAAACUACACUUUGCGGAUUUCAUCGAGAGGCUAGUUAACACCCACCCAGCACUAAGUGCUCGAUGGGUUCGCUCUAAAGUAAACAUCUAGUAUCAAUCAGCAACACCAGAGGAAAUGCGCCCACGAGGGUACAUAAGUACAAGAUUGGAAAGAAUAGAUUCCCUCCUCAUGAAAACCCUGGGACGGAGAGUUAGCAUAUAAGGACCAGGCGCGGCUUUUACAACCAAUCUUCAAAGAGUCUUCAUCAGGGCGUCAUGUUAUACUCUCCAUAUUAUACUACAGUGUGGAAAUAAAUCAACUAAACAUAA
Molecule: long non-coding RNA, 2261 nt
Organism: Bombus terrestris (buff-tailed bumblebee)
Lineage: Eukaryota; Metazoa; Arthropoda; Insecta; Hymenoptera; Apidae
Exons: 2
Source: RefSeq, a predicted model, not a curated record